This is a long non-coding RNA of Xenia sp. Carnegie-2017, 215 nucleotides long. RefSeq lists it as uncharacterized. NCBI's taxonomy places the organism in Eukaryota, Metazoa, Cnidaria, Anthozoa, Malacalcyonacea, Xeniidae. The record is from RefSeq and is a predicted model, not a curated record. The transcript is spliced from 2 exons.
UGAGAAAUCUGACACCAUGUUUGUUCUUUGACAGCGCAACAUGAAAGUUUAAACACAUGUUUGUAAAUGUAGAUCGUCCAGCCUUGCGACAUGGGAUUUGGAGAGAUAAAAGGAUCACCAAGAAGCUGUGCUAACCAUCGGUUAAGGCUCUCCGGAUGUAGACAUCUAUAGAAAGUAUAUGACAUUAAAAGACAGUAGCUAUAAAUUCUUCGUCA